Molecule: non-coding RNA, 158 nt
Organism: Paramuricea clavata
Lineage: Eukaryota; Metazoa; Cnidaria; Anthozoa; Malacalcyonacea; Plexauridae
Source: the annotation of a GenBank genome assembly
GAUAUAUAUGUUAUCUACCGGCUGCGAGGUCCGGAUGAGAAAAACUGUGCCCUAGGUCUUGUAAACGGCCCGAGCCCGAAGGGCGAGGGACGUUUUCAAGACCGAGGGCACAGUUUUUCUCAUCCGGACCGACGCUGCCGGUAAAUAACGUGUUUAUU